AUGAGUGGAGAAGGCGAUCAAAGCCUAAAUGGAGCAGAGAGGCCUUUGCCAGGGGCCCGGCCGUUGGGGGAAGAGACGCUGCAAGCCAUAGCUUCCUCUACGGGGUACCCCAGGCCGAACGGCGUGACCCAGAGGAUUCCCAGAGGAGGAAGAGGUGUUUCGGCGGCUGCAGAAACCAGUUGGGGAUCUGGAGGAAGCAUGCCGGAGACCGUGGCCCUGCGGUUAUCCAUCCUGGAAACUAAUUUAUCCAGGCUGUCGGAAACCGUGGGGAGGUUGGUGCCACUAUUGGAAGAGAAUCUCCAGAAGGAGCCCACCCGAUAUGGCGCCGAGAGAGAGCCAAGUAAAGAAGAAGCUUGGAGCCAGAGGGGCCAGCGCGCCUCAACGCAGAGCCCCGUGGCGGCGAGGGGCGAGGGGGAUGAGGAAUACUGGCAGGAACUGGAGUUCCGAGACAGAAGGGCGCGCGAAGUGGAGCGCCAGCAAGCUCUGGGAACUCUGAGGCCGCCAACUCCAACAGAACCUCCAACCCCCCGAAUGGGCGUCGGGGUGGAAAGACCACUGGGGCCAGGGAUCGGGUCCAGUGGAUUGGCGGACGAAGGCGGAGAGGAGCCGGAGAUCCAGGAAGAGGAGGAGGAUGUGCCGUACGACGAGGGAAGGCGAGGUGCGGGGGCUACAGCGAGGCCCGCAUUCGGAUGGGUGGAAGGGCCGACAGCAGCGGCAGAAUUUCGGGAGCCGCGCAGAACGACCGCCGGAGUGGGGCGCGGCGUGUUCAAAGGGGCCGUCCAAGGAAACCCGAUGCAACCCUUCCCCAUGCCUCCCAGACAGCAUCAACGGGCCGCAGAAUGGAUGCAAAGGAGGGAAGAGCUCAAACUGGAAUACGGAGGGGAAUCAUCUGAACUGAACUUUUUCCUCAUUAGCAUCAGAGGAUAUAUGGAAGACAAUGCACACACAUUCCCCUCCGAAGGAAGCAUGGUUCGGGCCAUCGGCAACACACUAAAGAGAGGAGCAGCCAGCUGGUAUGUGCAACUACAUGCCAGACGCGACCCGUGCCUGAGGUCAGUACCCCGCUUCCUCGCCGCACUGGAAAACCGGUUCAGAGACCGGCUAGAGCAAUUGAGGGCUUGA
Molecule: long non-coding RNA, 1122 nt
Filed under: Anolis carolinensis (green anole)
Lineage: Eukaryota; Metazoa; Chordata; Lepidosauria; Squamata; Anolidae
Description: lncRNA (ENSACAG00000040319.1)
Source: RNAcentral